AAAGGUAAUUGUGGUUUCUGC
RNAcentral lists this microRNA (21 nucleotides) under Homo sapiens (human). Its description in RNAcentral is "hsa-miR-548ag". Its record names the gene hsa-miR-548ag. Lineage: Eukaryota; Metazoa; Chordata; Mammalia; Primates; Hominidae. The record is from miRBase by way of RNAcentral.